AGAGCUCUUGACAUCCUUGGACCACCCUAGAGAUACGGUGUUCCCUUCGGGGACCAAGUGACAGGUGGUGCAUGGUUGUCGUCAGCUCGUGUCGUGAGAUGUUGGGUUAAGUCCCGCAACGAGCGCAACCCUUGAUCUUAGUUGCCAGCAUUUAGUUGGGCACUCUAAGGUGACUGCCGGUGACAAACCGGAGGAAGGUGGGGAUGACGUCAAAUCAUCAUGCCCCUUAUGACCUGGGCUACACACGUGCUACAAUGGAUGGAACAAAGGGAAGCAAAACCGCGAGGUGAAGCAAAUCCCAUAAAACCAUUCUCAGUUCGGAUUGCAGGCUGCAACUCGCCUGCAUGAAGCCGGAAUCGCUAGUAAUCGCGGAUCAGCAUGCCGCGGUGAAUACGUUCCCGGGUCUUGUACACACCGA
Molecule: ribosomal RNA, 418 nt
Filed under: Oceanobacillus sp. enrichment culture clone TTGE_BC_1.1
Lineage: Bacteria; Bacillati; Bacillota; Bacilli; Caryophanales; Bacillaceae
Description: bacterial SSU rRNA
Rfam family: Bacterial small subunit ribosomal RNA
Source: RNAcentral